RNAcentral lists this ribosomal RNA (253 nucleotides) under uncultured bacterium. RNAcentral describes it as "partial 16S ribosomal RNA". It matches the Rfam family "Bacterial small subunit ribosomal RNA", at positions 524 to 776 of the family's 1533-position model. The record is from RNAcentral.
UACGAAGGAGGCUAGCGUUGCUCGGAAUGACUGGGCGUAAAGGGCGCGUAGGCGGCUUACAUAGUUAGGCGUGAAAUUCCUGGGCUCAACCUGGGGACUGCGUCUAAUACAUGUAGGCUUGAGUGUGAAAGAGGGUCGUGGAAUUUCCAGUGUAGAGGUGAAAUUCGUAGAUAUUGGAAAGAACACAGGUGGCGAAGGUGGCGACCUGGUUCAUUACUGACGCUGAGGCGCGAAAGCGUGGGGAGCAAACAGG